Molecule: long non-coding RNA, 291 nt
Organism: Mercenaria mercenaria
Lineage: Eukaryota; Metazoa; Mollusca; Bivalvia; Venerida; Veneridae
Exons: 3
Source: RefSeq, a predicted model, not a curated record
UAUUGCUACAGACUCGCAAAAAAACACGGUCCAUGUUCUUGCCAAACAGCAUGGGGUAAAAAAUAUUGAGAAGUUUGCUUUGUUGCUUAGCAACCAUUUCCUACAGAAAUAUCAGCAUGUGGUUGCAACUAGAAUUAAUGUAGAGGAGUAUCCAUGGAAACGCAUUGAAGUUAAUGGUGAGAAACAUGUACAUGCAUUCCAGUUUGUUCGAGAUUGUACCAGAGUGUGUGAAGUGACCCAGAAACGUGGAGGUAAAAAACCGUCUCUAACAAUUUCUUCCAUCUGUAUUAG